AUUGAACGCUGGCGGCAUGCUUUACACAUGCAAGUCGAACGGUAACAGGCCGCAAGUUGCUGACGAGUGGCGAACGGGUGGGUAAUGCAGCGGAACGUGGCCAGCCGUGGGGUAUAACUACUCGAAAGAGUAGCUAAUACCGCAUACGAUCUAUGGAUGAAAGCGGGGGACCGUAAGGCCUCGCGCGAUUGGAGCGGCCGAUGUCAGAUUAGGUAGUUGGUGGGGUAAAGGCUCACCAAGCCAACGAUCUGUAGCUGGUCUGAGAGGACGAGCAGCCACACUGGGACUGAGACACGGCCCAGACUCCUACGGGAGGCAGCAGUGGGGAAUUUUGGACAAUGGGCGCAAGCCUGAUCCAGCAAUGCCGCGUGCAGGAAGAAGGCCUUCGGGUUGUAAACUGCUUUUGUACGGAACGAAACGGCUCUGGUUAAUACCCGGGGCUAAUGACGGUACCGUAAGAAUAAGCACCGGCUAACUACGUG
This 482-nucleotide ribosomal RNA is filed under the name uncultured bacterium. Its description in RNAcentral is "partial 16S ribosomal RNA". It matches the Rfam family "Bacterial small subunit ribosomal RNA", at positions 30 to 507 of the family's 1533-position model. The record is from RNAcentral.